GACGAACGCUGGCGGCGUGCCUAAUACAUGCCAGUUGAGCGCUGAAGGUUGGUACUUGUCCCGACUGGAUGAGCAGCGAACGGGUGAGUAACGCGUGGGGAAUCUGCCUUUGAGCGGGGGACAACAUUUGGAAACGAAUGCUAAUACCGCAUAAAAACUUUAAACACAAGUUUUAAGUUUGAAAGAUGCAAUUGCAUCACUCAAAGAUGAUCCCGCGUUGUAUUAGCUAGUUGGUGAGGUAAAGGCUCACCAAGGCGAUGAUACAUAGCCGACCUGAGAGGGGGAUCGGCCACAUUGGGACUGAGACACGGCCCAAACUCCUACGGGAGGCAGCAGUAGGGAAUCUUCGGCGAUGGACGAAAGUCUGACCGAGCAACGCCGCGUGAGUGAAGAAGGUUUUCGGAUCGUAAAACUCUGUUGGUAGAGAAGAACGUUGGUGAGAGUGGAAAGCUCAUCAAGUGACGGUAACUACCCAGAAAGGGACGGCUAACUACGUG
RNAcentral lists this ribosomal RNA (497 nucleotides) under uncultured bacterium. Its description in RNAcentral is "partial 16S ribosomal RNA". It matches the Rfam family "Bacterial small subunit ribosomal RNA", at positions 28 to 507 of the family's 1533-position model. The record is from RNAcentral.